AACGCUGGCGGCAUGCCUUACACAUGCAAGUCGAACGGUAACAGGUCUUCGGAUGCUGACGAGUGGCGAACGGGUGAGUAAUACAUCGGAACGUGCCCGAUCGUGGGGGAUAACGAGGCGAAAGCUUUGCUAAUACCGCAUACGAUCUACGGAUGAAAGCGGGGGAUCUUCGGACCUCGCGCGGACGGAGCGGCCGAUGGCAGAUUAGGUAGUUGGUGGGAUAAAAGCUUACCAAGCCGACGAUCUGUAGCUGGUCUGAGAGGAUGAUCAGCCACACUGGGACUGAGACACGGCCCAGACUCCUACGGGAGGCAGCAGUGGGGAAUUUUGGACAAUGGGCGAAAGCCUGGUCCAGCCAUGCCGCGUGCAGGAUGAAGGCCUUCGGGUUGUAAACUGCUUUUGUACGGAACGAAAAGCCUCUUUCUAAUAAAGAGGGGUCAUGACGGUACCGUAAGAAUAAGCACCGGG
This 468-nucleotide ribosomal RNA is filed under the name soil isolate KBS-LC8. RNAcentral's name for it is "bacterial SSU rRNA". It matches the Rfam family "Bacterial small subunit ribosomal RNA", at positions 32 to 497 of the family's 1533-position model. The record is from RNAcentral.